This 315-nucleotide ribosomal RNA is filed under the name uncultured bacterium. RNAcentral's name for it is "bacterial SSU rRNA". It matches the Rfam family "Bacterial small subunit ribosomal RNA", at positions 202 to 507 of the family's 1533-position model. The record is from RNAcentral.
AUCUUCGGACCUCGCGCUAUUGGAGCGGCCGAUGUCGGAUUAGCUAGUAGGUGAGGUAAAGGCUCACCUAGGCGACGAUCCGUAGCUGGUCUGAGAGGAUGAUCAGCCACACUGGGACUGAGACACCGGCCCAGACUCCUACGGGAGGCAGCAGUGGGGAAUUUUUGGACAAUGGGCGCAAGCCUGAUCCAGCCAUGCCGCGUGAGUGAAGAAGGCCUUCGGGUUGUAAAGCUCUUUCAGGUGGAAAGAAAUAGCGCUGUUUAAUAGAUGGCGUUGAUGACGGUACCACCAGAAGAAGCACCGGCCAACUACGUG